AGUCAAUGCUCGCAAGAGUGAACUAGCUAACUGAAAUCAUAUGACUCAUGAAUUUGGUGAUUAUGAUAACAUAAGGGAAAAAAAUGAUAUUACCUUAUUAUUAGUGUUGUCCAAAACUGGUGCCAGAAGACUCGGUAAGACCAGAGACGCAAACGUUAGUCAUCUUAAUCAGGCGUAAAGGGUAUGUAGGCUGCUUUAAAAGUUUAUUGUUUUUAAUAGCUCUGUAACCGUAAUACUAUCUAAUUUGGGUAGUAUAUAAAAUUUAUAAUGAAAUAAAUGAUAUUUAAAAUAUAUCCGUGUAUCAGAAAAAAAAUAAAUGAAUAAAAGCUAGAAUCAAAUUGAGGAUAAUCCAAAUAAUACUUAGAGUAGGGGUUAAAUCCGCAGAUACUAAGGGGAAUACUAAUGGUGAAGACUUUUUAUCUACUAUUGAUUGACGCUGAGAAACGAAGGUGAGAAUAGGAAAUAGGAUUUGAUACCCAGAUACCUCUCACUGUCAACGAUGAAUGGUGGUUGUUAGUUUUAGUAAAAACUGGUAACGAUGUUAACACGAUAACCAUUCCGCCUUGCGAGUACGGUUGCAAAACUGAAACCAAAAAAAUUAGUCGGUCUCGAA
Molecule: ribosomal RNA, 613 nt
Filed under: Tricholoma sp. 26 XXD-2021
Lineage: Eukaryota; Fungi; Basidiomycota; Agaricomycetes; Agaricales; Tricholomataceae
Description: partial small subunit ribosomal RNA
Rfam family: Bacterial small subunit ribosomal RNA
Source: RNAcentral